GGACUGCCCUGGAACUGGCGCAGGAGGCAGAGGGGCCGGACCUCCUCCUGGGGCCUGAGAUCAUCAUCCUUCCUGUGAGUGGAUUCGCCCUGGAUGUCAUUACACGUCCUCAUGCUUCUCUCCACUGGACCCAUGAUGGGGACCCAGAUCCAGUUUCUGUAAGAGCAUGCGUCACAGACUGAAAAUGACAGCAGCAGCCUCCUUUUAUUCACCAGCUCUUCUCUAGUGUGUGAGGGAUCGUGGCACAUGUCACACACUCAGACCAGAGAGAUGUCAGUCUGGCCUCUACUCUGCCUUCAUGGGUGCUUCAUGUAGGUCUUCCUGGCACCUCCCGGGAUGUGACUCUUCUCACCAUGGCCAUCAUGUCCCUCCUGGUCUCCUCCUAUGCCUUCUGUGAGCCCACCUGUGCUAUGCUGCUGGCCUUCCUGUGGGGCUGUGUGCAGUGAGCCCUGGGGCUCCUGCUCUCAGCCGGGGUUCCUGCUGGACGUCAUCUCCUGCCCCGUCAAUCAUUAAAGUUUUCACCUCCACUGCUACCGUCACCAUCGGCUUCGGGCAGAUCAGGGUGGUCUUGCUGUUGGCACCAGGGCACCUGCUGGUUGUAUCCUAAGACAUCUGUCACGUCUGGAAUCCACUGCAACUAUGAGGAGGAGAGUCCCUUCAGUGCCUGUGAAAUGGAAUCUUCAGGACUUUUUAGUUUUAAAACUGAGAAUCUGCAAGAUUCAUUUCUUCAUGAUUCCAAAAUGUUUAUUUCUUAAUAUUUUGGUUUUUCAACAACUGAUGCUUUUGAGAG
RNAcentral lists this long non-coding RNA (790 nucleotides) under Equus asinus (donkey). Its description in RNAcentral is "lncRNA (ENSEASG00005027695.1)". The record is from RNAcentral. Lineage: Eukaryota; Metazoa; Chordata; Mammalia; Perissodactyla; Equidae.